UACGAAGGGGGCUAGCGUUGUUCGGAAUCACUGGGCGUAAAGCGCACGUAGGCGGACAGUUUAGUCGGGGGUGAAAGCCCGGGGCUCAACCUCGGAAUUGCCUUCGAUACUGGCUGUCUUGAGUACGGGAGAGGUGUGUGGAACUCCGAGUGUAGAGGUGAAAUUCGUAGAUAUUCGGAAGAACACCAGUGGCGAAGGCGACACACUGGCCCGUUACUGACGCUGAGGCGCGAAAGCGUGGGGAGCAAACAGG
RNAcentral lists this ribosomal RNA (253 nucleotides) under uncultured bacterium. RNAcentral's name for it is "partial 16S ribosomal RNA". It matches the Rfam family "Bacterial small subunit ribosomal RNA", at positions 524 to 776 of the family's 1533-position model. The record is from RNAcentral.